This 450-nucleotide ribosomal RNA is filed under the name uncultured bacterium. RNAcentral describes it as "bacterial SSU rRNA". It matches the Rfam family "Bacterial small subunit ribosomal RNA", at positions 330 to 794 of the family's 1533-position model. The record is from RNAcentral.
UCCAGACUCCUACGGGAGGCAGCAGUGGGGAAUAUUGGACAAUGGGGGGAACCCUGAUCCAGCGACGCCGCGUGAGUGAAGAAGUAUUUCGGUAUGUAAAGCUCUAUCAGCAGGGAAGAAAGAAAUGACGGUACCUGACUAAGAAGCCCCGGCUAACUACGUGCCAGCAGCCGCGGUAAUACGUAGGGGGCAAGCGUUAUCCGGAUUUACUGGGUGUAAAGGGAGCGUAGACGGCGAUGCAAGUCUGAAGCGAAAGGCGGGGGCCUAACCCCCGGACUGCUUUGGAAACUGUAUGUCUGGAGUGCAGGAGAGGUAAGUGGAGUUCCUAGUGUAGCGGUGAAAUGCGUAGAUAUUAGGAGGAACACCAGUGGCGAAGGCGGCUUACUGGACUGUAACUGACGUUGAGGCUCGAAAGCGUGGGGAGCAAACAGGAUUAGAUACCCGAGUAAA